Molecule: ribosomal RNA, 440 nt
Filed under: uncultured bacterium
Lineage: Bacteria
Description: partial 16S ribosomal RNA
Rfam family: Bacterial small subunit ribosomal RNA
Source: RNAcentral
CCUACGGGUGGCAGCAGUGGGGAAUAUUGCACAAUGGGGGGAACCCUGAUGCAGCGACGCCGCGUGAGUGAAGAAGUAUUUCGGUAUGUAAAGCUCUAUCAGCAGGGAAGAAAAUGACGGUACCUGACUAAGAAGCUCCGGCUAACUACGUGCCAGCAGCCGCGGUACUAUGCAGGGGGCAAGCGUUAUCCGGAUUUACUGGGUGUAAGGGGAGCGCAGACGGCUGUGCAAGUCUGGAGUGAAAGGCGGGGGCCCAACCCCCGGACUGCUCUGGAAACUGUAAAGCUGGAGUGCAGGAGAGGUAAGCGGAAUUCCUGGUGUAGCGGUGAAAUGCGUAGAUAUUAGGAGGAACACCAGUGGCGAAGGCGGCUUACUGGACUGCAACUGACGUUGAGGCUCGAAAGCGUGGGGAGCAAACAGGAUUAGAUACCCUAGUAGUC